RNAcentral lists this ribosomal RNA (397 nucleotides) under uncultured bacterium. Its description in RNAcentral is "partial 16S ribosomal RNA". It matches the Rfam family "Bacterial small subunit ribosomal RNA", at positions 523 to 918 of the family's 1533-position model. The record is from RNAcentral.
AUACGUAGGUGGCAAGCGUUGUCCGGAAUUAUUGGGCGUAAAGCGCGCGCAGGUGGUUCCUUAAGUCUGAUGUGAAAGCCCCCGGCUCAACCGGGGAGGGUCAUUGGAAACUGGGGAACUUGAGUGCAGAAGAGGAUAGUGGAAUUCCAAGUGUAGCGGUGAAAUGCGUAGAGAUUUGGAGGAACACCAGUGGCGAAGGCGAUGUUCUGGUCUGUAACUGACACUGAGGCGCGAAAGCGUGGGGAGCAAACAGGAUUAGAUACCCUGGUAGUCCACGCCGUAAACGAUGAGUGCUAAGUGUUGGGGGGUUUCCGCCCCUCAGUGCUGCAGCUAACGCAUUAAGCACUCCGCCUGGGGAGUACGGUCGCAAGACUGAAACUCAAAGGAAUUGACGGGG